UCGAGCGAACAGACGAGGAGCUUGCUCCUCUGACGUUAGCGGCGGACGGGUGAGUAACACGUGGAUAACCUACCUAUAAGACUGGGAUAACUUCGGGAAACCGGAGCUAAUACCGGAUAAUAUAUUGAACCGCAUGGUUCAAUAGUGAAAGACGGUUUUGCUGUCACUUAUAGAUGGAUCCGCGCCGCAUUAGCUAGUUGGUAAGGUAACGGCUUACCAAGGCAACGAUGCGUAGCCGACCUGAGAGGGUGAUCGGCCACACUGGAACUGAGACACGGUCCAGACUCCUACGGGAGGCAGCAGUAGGGAAUCUUCCGCAAUGGGCGAAAGCCUGACGGAGCAACGCCGCGUGAGUGAUGAAGGUCUUCGGAUCGUAAAACUCUGUUAUCAGGGAAGAACAAAUGUGUAAGUAACUGCGCACAUCUUGACGGUACCUGAUCAGAAAGCCACGGCUAACUACGUGCCAGCAGCCGCGGUAAUACGUAGGUGGCAAGCGUUAUCCGGAAUUAUUGGGCGUAAAGCGCGCGUAGGCGGUUUUUUAAGUCUGAUGUGAAAGCCCACGGCUCAACCGUGGAGGGUCAUUGGAAACUGGAAAACUUGAGUGCAGAAGAGGAAAGUGGAUUCCAUGUGUAGCGGUGAAAUGCGCAGAGAUAUGGAGGAACACCAGUGGCGAAGGCGACUUUCUGGUCUGUAAC
RNAcentral lists this ribosomal RNA (695 nucleotides) under uncultured Staphylococcus sp. RNAcentral's name for it is "bacterial SSU rRNA". It matches the Rfam family "Bacterial small subunit ribosomal RNA", at positions 62 to 740 of the family's 1533-position model. Lineage: Bacteria; Bacillati; Bacillota; Bacilli; Caryophanales; Staphylococcaceae. The record is from RNAcentral.